Molecule: transfer RNA, 73 nt
Organism: Ovis aries (sheep)
Lineage: Eukaryota; Metazoa; Chordata; Mammalia; Artiodactyla; Bovidae
Rfam family: tRNA
About the family: Transfer RNA (tRNA) molecules are approximately 80 nucleotides in length.
Source: Rfam
UCCCUGGUGGCCCAGUAGAUAAGACUCUGUACUUCCAAUUCAUGAGGUACAGGUUCAAUCCCUGGUCAGGGAA